CCUACGGGCGGCAGCAGUGAGGAAUAUUGGUCAAUGGACGAGAGUCUGAACCAGCCAAGUAGCGUGAAGGAUGACUGCCCUAUGGGUUGUAAACUUCUUUUAUAUGGGAAUAAAACGUUCCACGUGUGGGAUUUUGUAUGUACCAUAUGAAUAAGGAUCGGCUAACUCCGUGCCAGCAGCCGCGGUAAUACGGAGGAUCCGAGCGUUAUCCGGAUUUAUUGGGUUUAAAGGGAGCGUAGGUGGAUUGUUAAGUCAGUUGUGAAAGUUUGCGGCUCAACAGUAAAAUUGCAGUUGAAACUGGCAGUCUUGAGUACAGUAGAGGUGGGCGGAAUUCGUGGUGUAGCGGUGAAAUGCUUAGAUAUCACGAAGAACUCCGAUUGCGAAGGCAGUUCACUGGACUGCAACUGACACUGAGGCUCGAAAGUGUGGGUAUCAAACAGGAUUAGAUACCCUUGUAGUC
RNAcentral lists this ribosomal RNA (460 nucleotides) under uncultured bacterium. Its description in RNAcentral is "partial 16S ribosomal RNA". It matches the Rfam family "Bacterial small subunit ribosomal RNA", at positions 338 to 795 of the family's 1533-position model. The record is from RNAcentral.